CAGCUCCAGGACAUCUUCACGCUGCCCGGGACCCCACGCCUCGCCGUCCGCCUGGGCCUGGCCCCUCCGUGACAGUGGCCGCAGCUGCUCAGCCUCCCGCGGGGCCCUCUGGGCACAGGGGUGGGUGGACCUGGAGCCUGACCUUCCUCUGCCUCCCUGCUCCUGCGUGAGCAGCAUGCUGUCUCCCUCUUCCCGAGCUACCCACCGUGGCCCCUGGCCUUGCACGCCUCCAUGUGUCCCCGAUCCCGGGGCUGCGGGGGCCUCUCCCAAGCAGACCUCCCACGAAGGCGCCACCGGCACCUCAGCGCGACCGGGAUCCCGAGUGGGCAUCUCGUGUGGGGCUCUGCCUUCCCUCCAGCCUCUGGAUGUGUGUGCACCAGGGCUGCGAAGGACUCUGAGGUCGCCUCCACUGGGGACUGUCUUGGGCGGGCGUCAUGGCAGCUCCAAGUCUCAGCCCAGAUCCUGAGAUGCAGCAGGCGUGGGGUGCGUUUGCUGAGUGAAUGAUGGUGUGCACAGUGCAGGGCUGGAGGCCAGCUGUGUCCCAGCACGGCCUGCGUCUCGGGUGCGGCCCCAGAGCUGCCAGGAGAGGAGCCAAGCGCCUGCCCUGCAGAGGACCCUCUCCUGCUGGCAGCGGACGAGCUGAGCGUCUGUGGCCAUCAGGGCCUCAGCCUGGCUUGGGAGGACUCGAGCAGGGCCACAGGCACACUGCGGCUCCCUGGAGACUGUGGCUGCAGUACCGUCGCACUCAGCGCCGCUUAGCCAGCGACAGCGCGAGGAUGACUUCACGUGGUCAGCCCCACUGCUGAGGCCUCCUGGAUGGCUCCGCCCGCCCGGUCAGCAGCCCCGGCCAGGAAGAGUGUGGGUCGUUCCACCUCCUUUUCCCUUCCGGGACGGAUGAACCCCUACUCGGCCCCCAGCAAGACACCCCGCUCCUGACCAGGCGAGGUUUCUCCUCGGGCUCUGGCCCCAGGCACGAAAUGCUGGCCACGUGGGUGGGGGUUGCUCCCUGCAGGGAGCUGCCUAUCCAGAGAGCAGAGCAGCAGAAGACCAAAUGGGAUUUGUGAGUCCCCGGCGGAUGGAGGGCUCACUUCACCUGACAGCAGCCAGCCAGUGCCUUGCCCUGGAGCCUCACCUUCCAGCCUGGAGAGCUGUGCAAAAUAAAUUUCUGCUGCGAAUCACUGUUUGUGGUGCCCGGUCCCGACUGCCCACAGGCACACAGAGGUUGCGAGGCAGAGGAGGCCCAGGUUG
Heterocephalus glaber (naked mole-rat) is the source of this 1248-nucleotide long non-coding RNA. The record is from Ensembl. NCBI's taxonomy places the organism in Eukaryota, Metazoa, Chordata, Mammalia, Rodentia, Bathyergidae.